RNAcentral lists this small nuclear RNA (319 nucleotides) under Microcebus murinus (gray mouse lemur). RNAcentral describes it as "7SK RNA (ENSMICG00000021459.3)". It matches the Rfam family "7SK RNA". Rfam says of the family: 7SK was discovered as an abundant small nuclear RNA in the mid-70s but a possible function has only recently been suggested. The record is from Rfam by way of RNAcentral. Lineage: Eukaryota; Metazoa; Chordata; Mammalia; Primates; Cheirogaleidae.
GGAUGCGAGGGUGAUCUGGCUGUGACAUCUGUCACCCCAGUGAUUGUCAGUGUUGAUUUGGCUGAUCUGGCUGGCUAGGUGGGUGUUGCCUUCCUUUAUCUCCAUGUGUGUCCCUCCUGAAGCUGCAUGCUCGGCUGAAAGAAGUCUUCUCUCUUGGAAGACUGUUCUUCAGGCAAGGGUAAAAGAGUGGCUGUGCUUCCCUGCUAGAACCCCCAAACAAGCUCUCAGGCCUAUUUGUAGGAAAACAUAGGGCAGUCAAACUCCCAGGACUCCAGACAGAUCUAAAUGAGGUGCUGCAUGUGGCAGUCUGCCUUUCUUG